GUGUGUUAAUCGCCAAAAACAAAAGAAUUCUCUUUUUACCAAGCUGUGAAUUUUUCACAAAUUUGUAACUGUAACAUAUUACCAAAAUCUUUGAAAUAUAUGUGAUAAAAAAAAAAAAAUGACUCCCUGUGCAAUUGGCUUUCACAUUCAUUCAAUCCAAAAGGGUCCAAAUCACUAACGUCUGAAUUGUUGGGAAUGUUAGAUUGAGGUCAACAUAGCUUUAAGUCAGCCAGGUUUU
Non-coding RNA from Pelobates cultripes (western spadefoot toad), 238 nucleotides. The record is from the annotation of a GenBank genome assembly. Lineage: Eukaryota; Metazoa; Chordata; Amphibia; Anura; Pelobatidae.